RNAcentral lists this ribosomal RNA (440 nucleotides) under uncultured bacterium. RNAcentral's name for it is "partial 16S ribosomal RNA". It matches the Rfam family "Bacterial small subunit ribosomal RNA", at positions 338 to 795 of the family's 1533-position model. The record is from RNAcentral.
CCUACGGGUGGCAGCAGUGGGGAAUAUUGCACAAUGGGGGAAACCCUGAUGCAGCGACGCCGCGUGAGUGAAGAAGUAUUUCGGUAUGUAAAGCUCUAUCAGCAGGGAAGAAAAUGACGGUACCUGAGUAAGAAGCCCCGGCUAACUACGUGCCAGCAGCCGCGGUAAUACGUAGGGGGCAAGCGUUAUCCGGAUUUACUGGGUGUAAAGGGAGUGUAGACGGCUAAGUAAGUCAGAGGUGAAAUCCCAGGGCUUAACCGUGGAACUGCUUUUGAAACUGUUUUGCUAGAGUGCCGGAGAGGUAAGCGGAAUUCCUAGUGUAGCGGUGAAAUGCGUAGAUAUUAGGAGGAACACCAGUGGCGAAGGCGGCUUACUGGACGGUAACUGACGUUGAGGCUCGAAAGCGUGGGGAGCAAACAGGAUUAGAUACCCCUGUAGUC